This 494-nucleotide long non-coding RNA is filed under the name Solanum tuberosum (potato). RNAcentral describes it as "long non-coding RNA (STUB_LNC003946)". Lineage: Eukaryota; Viridiplantae; Streptophyta; Magnoliopsida; Solanales; Solanaceae. The record is from RNAcentral.
AUUAUUCCAUUUUGAUCAAACAAGAGAAUCAGAAUAUAUUCAAUUCAGAAUAAUGUGCUUUAAUUUAUCGUAUGGUUAAGGCAAAGCUAAAGAGCUAGGAAAGUCAAUUUUAACUUAAUGAAAUUUCCCUUAAUUGUAACUAGAGGUGUUCAUGGUUUGGAUAAAAAUUGAUCCAAAUCGAAAAAUCAAGCCAAAUCGAUUAAAUGAACCGAUUUAAUUUGGAUUUUGGUUUGGUUUGGUUUUAGAUUGUUAAGAACCGAUAGUCAUUGGUUUGGUUAUGAUUUUGUUCGAAAAAAAUCGAAGAAAUAACUGAACCGAACCAACAAGUUAUAUACAUGAAUUUUAUUAUUAUACAUACAUAAUAUAUUAUAUUCAUAAACAAUUUUAAAGAUUUUAUAUAUGUUUCAUCAAAAUUUAUUUAUAAUUUACUUAUGAAAGAAAAAAUGUCCAAGGUGAGAACAUUUUUCUUAUUGGUUUCAUGUAUAUGAGUGUCU